UCUGUCCUAUUGAUUUUGAACACUGACCUGAUGUUUUUUUACUUCUCACGGUAAUUAUGUUUCCAAUGAUCAAAGACAUUUUUCUUUUUGAGGCAGAAGUUUGUUGGCUGUAAGAGUUGAAAUCGAGCAAAAUGAAGGAAAUUGUUUUGCAGGAAAGGUCAGAACUGGAGGAGAUUUUUCAGAAUACACAUUUGAAUCUAGAAUCAGAUAGUGCAUUGGAAAUUGCCAUUGAAGCUGUUGAGUCAAGUAUUUAAUUUGUUGUAAGAGAAGUAUCAUUGUCUAAUAUCUUUGUAAUGUCUUUUAAUUUUAUGCAUCUAAUUUUUGGAUUCAGAGGCUGUGGACCUUGCUUUUGUCCUCGAACAAAUUAAGCUUCAAAUAGCUAAAGUGAAAGAGGAAGUGGUUGGUUGCAUGUGAGGAGUGUUGGCUUCACCAGUAUAACAUGGUUGGGUUGGGGUGUUUUAUUUGUACUUGUAUUUUCUAUUUGGGCAAAUUACACUUUUCACCCUUUAGUUUGAUACAAUUUUCACUUUGGUCUUUAUUGUUUUAAUUUGAACAGUUUGGUCCCUAUACUUCAAGUUUAGUUUUAUUUGAUUAUUCCAUUCAAAUUUUCGUUAAUUCUUCUACGUGUAUACCUGAAAAGUUUAACAAGUAUACCAAAAUUAUUAAUUUUAACAUCCAACUUGAAUGGAAGGACCAAAUUGAAAUUAGAUUUGAAUUGUAGGGAUUAAACUGUUUAAUUUGAAACAAUAAUGAUCAAAGUAAAAUUUGGGUCAUACUAAAGGAGUAAAAGGUGUAAUUUGCCCUUUCUAUUUCAUUACUUUUGCAUGAACAUCCUUGUAUCACCCUAAUGUUUGUGUAGAAUGAAAAUCGAAACAAUGUUGGAAGAGAUACUCAUUUUACUUUAAAGCGUGCUGAGAAAGCUCGAGCUUUAGCCAACCAACUUCCAUGUACACAUUGCAUUAUGUCGCUUGGUAGCCAUUUUUUGCUAGAAUUCUCAAAUAGAGAAUUUGGAAGCUAAGUUCAAUACUGGGUCAUUUUUUUGUUCUUGCGUUUGUCAAAGUUCAUUUUUUUUGGAACUAAUGUCAAAGUUCAGUUUGAUCUGAUAUUAUGUGCUUAUUAAUUUUGUGUUGUGUUGAUACAAGAAUGGUGGAGGCAGUGGCUUCGAAAACCGCAUCAUGGGAAAGCGAGAGAGGCAUUGAGUUCGCUUAUGACGGUAUAAGUGUAUCCUCAUUUUGUAAAAACAAAAAAGAUUUGAUUUUCGAACAAGUAGGUUUCAAUUACCAUAUAUUCUGUUUAUUUCCUCUCUUCAAGCAAACUUGUGUGCCUUUCCAUAUUUGUCUUCUUUUUGAGCUUGAAGAGUAUACCAUUUCACAGCAAGAGAAAGCACAAGAGGCAGAGGAUAUGUAUGGACUUAUUAUUUUACUCUAAGCAUGGACUCACUUGGGUAUUUCUUAUCCAAAUUGUGUAGUUGUGGCAUGUGCAAAAAUAUUGAUCUAUUUCAGAACCAGAAGAAACUUCAGGGGCAUUUAAUGGCAGAAUGUUCAAAACCAAGUAGUCCUAUGAAGCUCCAAGAUGGGAAAAAGGAUCUUAAAUUUUCACAGAUCAACAAACGACUUACUAUUGGAGGAAAAGUUGAUCCUAAUACACCAUGACAAGCCAAGAAGCGUGAUCGUUUGCUCCCAAAUGACUAGUUAAAUCAAACCCAGGAUGAUGAAUCUGUAACUUCAUCAGAUGACAAACAAGAUCGUUUACAAAUUCAAGACUAAACCAUUGGAGUAUGAAGCUUUGAUGCGCACUGCGACUGGAAAACAUUAUUGGACGCCCGAGGAGAAGGCUGAGGACGUUGGCGACGGUGAAUCCGAUUCAGUGGACUCUCCUGGGUUACAGCCAUUCACCGAGCCAUACAGACCGGUCGUUGACUCAUCUCCAAACUCCCCCACCGUCCAUCUUGAUGAAGCAGACCCUAGG
Camellia sinensis is the source of this 1968-nucleotide non-coding RNA. The record is from RefSeq and is a predicted model, not a curated record. NCBI's taxonomy places the organism in Eukaryota, Viridiplantae, Streptophyta, Magnoliopsida, Ericales, Theaceae.